This 253-nucleotide ribosomal RNA is filed under the name Shouchella clausii. RNAcentral's name for it is "partial 16S ribosomal RNA". It matches the Rfam family "Bacterial small subunit ribosomal RNA", at positions 524 to 776 of the family's 1533-position model. RNAcentral also lists the same sequence under 1 other name. The record is from RNAcentral. Lineage: Bacteria; Bacillati; Bacillota; Bacilli; Caryophanales; Bacillaceae.
UACGUAGGUGGCAAGCGUUGUCCGGAAUUAUUGGGCGUAAAGCGCGCGCAGGCGGCUUCUUAAGUCUGAUGUGAAAUCUCGGGGCUCAACCCCGAGCGGCCAUUGGAAACUGGGGAGCUUGAGUGCAGAAGAGGAGAGUGGAAUUCCACGUGUAGCGGUGAAAUGCGUAGAGAUGUGGAGGAACACCAGUGGCGAAGGCGACUCUCUGGUCUGUAACUGACGCUGAGGCGCGAAAGCGUGGGGAGCAAACAGG